CACAGACAGGUUGAAGAGAGACAGACACAGACACACAGACAGGUUGUAGAGAGACAGACACAGACACACAGACAGGUUGUAGAGAGACAGACAGGUUGAAGAGAGACAGAUACAGACACACAGACAGGUUGAAGAGAGACAGACACAGACACACAGACAGGUUGUAGAGAGACAGACACAGACACACAGACAGGUUGUAGAGAGACAGAUACAGACACACAGACAGGUUGUAGAGAGACAGACACAGACACACAGACAGGUUGAAGAGAGAUAGACACAGACACACAGACAGGUUGUAGAGAGACAGACACAGACACACAGACAGGUUGUAGAGAGACAGAUACAGACACACAGACAGGUUGUAGAGAGACAGACAGGUUGUAGAGAGACAGACACAGACACACAGGGGUGUC
Long non-coding RNA from Clupea harengus (Atlantic herring), 413 nucleotides. Lineage: Eukaryota; Metazoa; Chordata; Actinopteri; Clupeiformes; Clupeidae. The record is from Ensembl.